UCCACCUCCCUCCCUUCCUCUCUCCCUCCCUCAUCAUUAUCCUCAUCACUAAAUCCUACAGAGUUCAGGGCGGAAAGCGGUGCACAC
Molecule: non-coding RNA, 87 nt
Organism: Myotis brandtii (Brandt's bat)
Lineage: Eukaryota; Metazoa; Chordata; Mammalia; Chiroptera; Vespertilionidae
Source: Rfam